RNAcentral lists this ribosomal RNA (760 nucleotides) under Alcaligenes sp. RNAcentral's name for it is "bacterial SSU rRNA". It matches the Rfam family "Bacterial small subunit ribosomal RNA", at positions 157 to 914 of the family's 1533-position model. Lineage: Bacteria; Pseudomonadati; Pseudomonadota; Betaproteobacteria; Burkholderiales; Alcaligenaceae. The record is from RNAcentral.
GAGUGGUUAAUACCGCAUACGCCCUACGGGGGAAAGGGGGGGAUCGCAAGACCUCUCACUAUUGGAGCGGCCGAUAUCGGAUUAGCUAGUUGGUGGGGUAAAGGCUCACCAAGGCAACGAUCCGUAGCUGGUUUGAGAGGACGACAAGCCACACUGGGACUGAGACACGGCCCAGACUCCUACGGGAGGCAGCAGUGGGGAAUUUUGGACUAUGGGGGAAACCCUGAUCUAGCCAUCCCGCGUGUAUGAUGAAGGCCUUCGGGUUGUAAAGUACUUUUGGCCGAGAAGAAAAGGUAUCCCCUAAUACGGGAUACUGCUGACGGUAUCUGCAGAAUAAGCACCGGCUAACUACGUGCCAGCAGCCGCGGUAAUACGUAGGGUGCAAGCGUUAAUCGGAAUUACUGGGCGUAAAGCGUGUGUAGGCGGUUCGGAUAGAAAGAUGUGAAAUCCCAGGGCUCAACCUUGGAACUGCAUUUUUAACUGCCGAGCUAGAGUAUGUCAGAGGGGGGUAGAAUUCCACGUGUAGCAGUGAAAUGCGUAGAUAUGUGGAGGAAUACCGAUGGCGAAGGCAGCCCCCUGGGAUAAUACUGACGCUCACACACGAAAGCGUGGGGAGCAAACACGAUUAGAUACCCUGGUAGUCCACGCCCUAAUCAAUGUCUACUAGCUGUUGGGGCCGUUAGGCCUUAGUAGCGCAGCUAACGCGUGAAGUUGACCGCCUGGGGAGUACGGUCGCACGAUUAAACUCAAAGGAAUUGAC